ACAUGCAAGUCGAACGAUGAAGCCCAGCUUGCUGGGUGGAUUAGUGGCGAACGGGUGAGUAACACGUGAGUAACCUGCCCCCGACUCUGGGAUAAGCCCGGGAAACUGGGUCUAAUACCGGAUAUGACUUCGCACCGCAUGGUGUGGGGUGGAAAGAUUUAUCGGUGGGGGAUGGACUCGCGGCCUAUCAGCUUGUUGGUGAGGUAAUGGCUCACCAAGGCGACGACGGGUAGCCGGCCUGAGAGGGUGACCGGCCACACUGGGACUGAGACACGGCCCAGACUCCUACGGGAGGCAGCAGUGGGGAAUAUUGCACAAUGGGCGAAAGCCUGAUGCAGCGACGCCGCGUGAGGGAUGACGGCCUUCGGGUUGUAAACCUCUUUCAGUAGGGAAGAAGCGAAAGUGACGGUACCUGCAGAAGAAGCGCCGGCUAACUACGUGCCAGCAGCCGCGGUAAUACGUAGGGCGCAAGCGUUAUCCGGAUUUAUUGGGCGUAAAGAGCUCGUAGGCGGUUUGUCGCGUCUGCCGUGAAAGUCCGAGGCUCAACCUCGGAUCUGCGGUGGGUACGGGCAGACUAGAGUGAUGUAGGGGAGACUGGAAUUCCUGGUGUAGCGGUGAAAUGCGCAGAUAUCAGGAGGAACACCGAUGGCGAAGGCAGGUCUCUGGGCAUUUACUGACGCUGAGGAGCGAAAGCAUGGGGAGCGAACAGGAUUAGAUACCCUGGUAGUCCAUGCCGUAAACGUUGGGCACUAGGUGUGGGGGACAUUCCACGUUUUCCGCGCCGUAGCUAACGCAUUAAGUGCCCCGCCUGGGGAGUACGGCCGCAAGGCUAAAACUCAAAGGAAUUGACGGGGGCCCGCACAAGCGGCGGAGCAUGCGGAUUAAUUCGAUGCAACGCGAAGAACCUUACCAAGGCUUGACAUGUGCCAGACCGCUCCAGAAGAUGGGGUUUCCCUUCGGGGCUGGUUCACAGGUGGUGCAUGGUUGUCGUCAGCUCGUGUCGUGAGAUGUUGGGUUAAGUCCCGCAACGAGCGCAACCCUCGU
Molecule: ribosomal RNA, 1044 nt
Filed under: Arthrobacter sp. 797B1_12ER2A
Lineage: Bacteria; Bacillati; Actinomycetota; Actinomycetes; Micrococcales; Micrococcaceae
Description: bacterial SSU rRNA
Rfam family: Bacterial small subunit ribosomal RNA
Source: RNAcentral